UAUAUUUUAAACUUCUAGGCU
RNAcentral lists this non-coding RNA (21 nucleotides) under Caenorhabditis elegans. The record is from RNAcentral. Lineage: Eukaryota; Metazoa; Nematoda; Chromadorea; Rhabditida; Rhabditidae.